This 421-nucleotide ribosomal RNA is filed under the name uncultured cyanobacterium. Its description in RNAcentral is "bacterial SSU rRNA". It matches the Rfam family "Bacterial small subunit ribosomal RNA", at positions 359 to 795 of the family's 1533-position model. The record is from RNAcentral. Lineage: Bacteria; Bacillati; Cyanobacteriota.
GAAUUUUCCGCAAUGGGCGAAAGCCUGACGGAGCAACGCCGCAUGAGGGAUGAAGGCCUCUGGGCUGUAAACCUCUUUUCUCAAGGAAGAAGAUCUGACGGUACUUGAGGAAUAAGCCACGGCUAAUUCCGUGCCAGCAGCCGCGGUAAUACGGGAGUGGCAAGCGUUAUCCGGAAUUAUUGGGCGUAAAGCGUCCGCAGGCGGCCUUUCAAGUCUGCUGUUAAAGCGUGGAGCUUAACUCCAUUAAGGCAGUGGAAACUGUUGGGCUUGAGUGUGGUAGGGGCAGAGGGAAUUCCCGGUGUAGCGGUGAAAUGCGUAGAUAUCGGGAAGAACACCAGUGGCGAAGGCGCUCUGCUGGGCCAUAACUGACGCUCAUGGACGAAAGCCAGGGGAGCGAAAGGGAUUAGAUACCCCUGUAGUC